RNAcentral lists this transfer RNA (64 nucleotides) under Latona dysoni. RNAcentral's name for it is "tRNA-Arg". The record is from RNAcentral. Lineage: Eukaryota; Metazoa; Arthropoda; Branchiopoda; Diplostraca; Sididae.
CAGUAAAUAGUAUAAACGUAUAUAUAGUUUCGGCCUAUAUGGUGAACUUUUAGUUCUUUACUGU